UAGGAUGUAGCCCAGUGGUAGGGCACUUGCUUAACAUGCACAAUGCCCCUGGGUUUGAUCCCCAGCACCACAA
Molecule: transfer RNA, 73 nt
Filed under: Fukomys damarensis (Damara mole-rat)
Lineage: Eukaryota; Metazoa; Chordata; Mammalia; Rodentia; Bathyergidae
Rfam family: tRNA
About the family: Transfer RNA (tRNA) molecules are approximately 80 nucleotides in length. Their secondary structure includes four short double-helical elements and three loops (D, anti-codon, and T loops). Further hydrogen bonds mediate the characteristic L-shaped molecular structure. tRNAs have two regions of fundamental functional importance: the anti-codon, which is responsible for specific mRNA codon recognition, and the 3' end, to which the tRNAs corresponding amino acid is attached (by aminoacyl-tRNA synthetases). tRNAs cope with the degeneracy of the genetic code in two manners: having more than one tRNA (with a specific anti-codon) for a particular amino acid; and 'wobble' base-pairing, i.e. permitting non-standard base-pairing at the 3rd anti-codon position.
Source: Rfam by way of RNAcentral